AGCACACUUGCUGUGUCUUUGUGCACUUUCUCGGUUAUCUGCUCAGCUCUGAUCAGGAAACUGGUUUUGGGAGCUGAAAAAAUGGAUCAAGGGAAGCAGGUGUUCACGGUGGAUCUUCUAGAGAGGUAUGCAGCGAAGGGGAAAGGUGUAAUUACUUGCAUGGCUGCUGGAAAUGAUGUAAUUGUGAUAGGAACUAGCAAAGGAUGGGUGAUUAGACACGAUUUUGGGAUCGGUGAUUCUUAUGAUAUUGAUCUUUCUUGGGGUCGACCUGGGGAGCAAUCUAUUCACAGAGUGUUUGUUGAUCCUGGUGGAAGCCACUGUAUUGCUAUUGUGGUUGGUAGUGGAGGUGCUGAAACUUAUUAUACUCAUGCAAAGUGG
RNAcentral lists this unclassified non-coding RNA (378 nucleotides) under Hevea brasiliensis (rubber tree). Lineage: Eukaryota; Viridiplantae; Streptophyta; Magnoliopsida; Malpighiales; Euphorbiaceae. The record is from RNAcentral.